GACGAACGCUGGCGGCGCGCUUAAUACAUGCAAGUCGAACGAGAAGCCAGAGCUUGCUCUGGUGGAAAGUGGCGAACGGGUGAGUAACACGUGAGAAACCUGCCCCAAAGAUUGGGAUAAGCCUUGGAAACGAGGUCUAAUACCAAAUACCUUCCUUUUAACACAUGUUAAAAAGAAGAAAUGCUCCGGCGCUUUGGGAUGGUCUCGCGAUCUAUCAGCUUGUUGGUGAGGUAACGGCUCACCAAGGCAUCGACGGAUAGCUGGUCUGAGAGGAUGUCCAGCCACAUUGGAACUGAGACACGGUCCAAACUCCUACGGGAGGCAGCAGUAGGGAAUCUUGCACAAUGAGGGAAACCUUGAUGCAGCGACGCCGCGUGCGGGACGAAGGCCCUAGGGUUGUAAACCGCUUUUCAGUAGGGACGAAAGUGACGGUACCUACAGAAGAAGCCCCGGCAACUAUGUGCCAGCAGCCGCGGUAAGCUCGUCUCUA
This 490-nucleotide ribosomal RNA is filed under the name uncultured bacterium. RNAcentral describes it as "bacterial SSU rRNA". It matches the Rfam family "Bacterial small subunit ribosomal RNA", at positions 28 to 537 of the family's 1533-position model. The record is from RNAcentral.